CUACGUGCCAGCAGCCGCGGUAAUACGUAGGGGGCAAGCGUUAUCCGGAUUUACUGGGUGUAAAGGGAGCGCAGACGGCAAUGCAAGUCUGAAGUGAAAGGCGUGGGCUCAACCCAUGAACUGCUUUGGAAACUGUAUAGCUUGAGUGUCGGAGGGGUAAGCGGAAUUCCUAGUGUAGCGGUGAAAUGCGUAGAUAUUAGGAGGAACACCGGAGGCGAAGGCGGCUUACUGGACGACAACUGACGUUGAGGCUCGAAGGCGUGGGGAGCAAACAGGAUUAGAUACCCUGGUAGUCCACGCAGUAAACGAUGAAUACUUGGUGUCGGGGAGGUAAACUCUUCGGUGCCGCAAGCUAACGCAUUAAGUACUCCGCCUGGGGAGUACGCUCGCAAGAGUAAAACUCAAAGGAAUUGACGGGGACCCGCACAAGCAGCGGAGCAUGUGGUUUAAUUCGAAGCAACGCGAAGAACCUUACCUAAACUUGACAUACCAAUGACAGCCUU
This 503-nucleotide ribosomal RNA is filed under the name uncultured bacterium. Its description in RNAcentral is "bacterial SSU rRNA". It matches the Rfam family "Bacterial small subunit ribosomal RNA", at positions 501 to 1002 of the family's 1533-position model. The record is from RNAcentral.